AACGCUGAAGAGAGGAGCUUGCUCUUCUUGGAUGAGUUGCGAACGGGUGAGUAACGCGUAGGUAACCUGCCUGGUAGCGGGGGAUAACUAUUGGAAACGAUAGCUAAUACCGCAUGAUAUUAAUUGUCGCAUGAUAAUUAAUUGAAAGAUGCAAUUGCAUCACUACCAGAUGGACCUGCGUUGUAUUAGCUAGUUGGUGAGGUAACGGCUCACCAAGGCGACGAUACAUAGCCGACCUGAGAGGGUGAUCGGCCACACUGGGACUGAGACACGGCCCAGACUCCUACGGGAGGCAGCAGUAGGGAAUCUUCGGCAAUGGGGGGAACCCUGACCGAGCAACGCCGCGUGAGUGAAGAAGGUUUUCGGAUCGUAAAGCUCUGUUGUAAGAGAAGAACGGGUGUGAGAGUGGAAAGUUCACACUGUGACGGUAUCUUACCAGAAAGGGACGGCUAACUACGUGCCAGCAGCCGCGGUAAUACGUAGGUCCCGAGCGUUGUCCGGAUUUAUUGGGCGUAAAGCGAGCGCAGGCGGUUAGAUAAGUCUGAAGUUAAAGGCUGUGGCUUAACCAUAGUAUGCUUUGGAAACUGUUUAACUUGAGUGCAGAAGGGGAGAGUGGAAUUCCAUGUGUAGCGGUGAAAUGCGUAGAUAUAUGGAGGAACACCGGUGGCGAAAGCGGCUCUCUGGUCUGUAACUGACGCUGAGGCUCGAAAGCGUGGGGAGCA
Molecule: ribosomal RNA, 722 nt
Filed under: uncultured Bacilli bacterium
Lineage: Bacteria; Bacillati; Bacillota; Bacilli
Description: bacterial SSU rRNA
Rfam family: Bacterial small subunit ribosomal RNA
Source: RNAcentral